RNAcentral lists this ribosomal RNA (300 nucleotides) under Triticum aestivum (bread wheat). RNAcentral describes it as "partial small subunit ribosomal RNA". The record is from RNAcentral. Lineage: Eukaryota; Viridiplantae; Streptophyta; Magnoliopsida; Poales; Poaceae.
GGCUAUUCAUGUCAGGAGGAGUUCCGUCUGGCCCUGUUCAGGACCAGCAAAGGGGCGAACCUGUUCGCGGAUAGGGUGUUCGACCUCUUCGAUCUCAAGCGCAACGGGGUCAUCGAGUUCGGCGAGUUCGUGCGUUCGCUCAGCAUCUUCCACCCCAAAGCACCUGAAUCCGAAAAGACCGUGUGUAUGCAUCCUAUUCCUGCCAUGUGUUCUUGUCCUCUCCCCCCUAUGAAAGGAGAUCAGUCAGCAUCGCUUCUUUCUCUCCAUCCUUCUCCUUGCAGUUGCAUUCAAGAUGUAUGA